GAUGAACGCUGGCGGCGUGCUUAACACAUGCAAGUCGAACGAAGCACUUAAUGAGAUUUCUUCGGAUUGAUUAUUUUGUGACUGAGUGGCGGACGGGUGAGUAACGCGUGGGUAACCUGCCCCAGACCGGGGGAUAACAGUCGGAAACGACUGCUAAUACCGCAUAAGCGCACAGUGCCGCAUGGCACGGUGUGAAAAACUCCGGUGGUCUGGGAUGGACCCGCGUCCGAUUAGUUAGUUGGCGGGGUAACGGCCCACCAAGACCGCGAUCGGUAGCCGACCUGAGAGGGUGACCGGCCACAUUGGGACUGAGACACGGCCCAGACUCCUACGGGAGGCAGCAGUGGGGAAUAUUGCACAAUGGAGGAAACUCUGAUGCAGCGACGCCGCGUGAGCGAAGAAGUAUUUCGGUAUGUAAAGCUCUGUCAGCAGGGAAGAUAAUGACGGUACCUGACCAAGAAGCCCCGGCUAACUACGUG
This 479-nucleotide ribosomal RNA is filed under the name uncultured bacterium. RNAcentral describes it as "bacterial SSU rRNA". It matches the Rfam family "Bacterial small subunit ribosomal RNA", at positions 28 to 507 of the family's 1533-position model. The record is from RNAcentral.